Molecule: small nuclear RNA, 107 nt
Organism: Talpa occidentalis (Iberian mole)
Lineage: Eukaryota; Metazoa; Chordata; Mammalia; Eulipotyphla; Talpidae
Source: RefSeq, a predicted model, not a curated record
GUGCUUGCCUCAGCAGUACAUAUACUAAAAUUGGAAUGAUACAGAGAAGACUAGCAAGGCCCUUGUGCAGGGAUGACUCUCAAAUUCAUGAAGUGGUCCAAAUUUUA